UGUGCCAAAAUCAAUUCAUUAAAAAAUAAAUAAAAAGGUGUUUAGAGAAGAGAAAAAAACUUUCAUGAGCUAGAUCCUCUUCUCCUCCAUAUACCCUUUGUCGUCUCUGAUCUUUUUCUUCUUCUCCACUGUGUCCCUUAACUCUUUCGAUCCAUCUUCUUUGUUCUCUCACUGUGUCGUCCCCUCUCUCUCCCUUUAUGUCAUUUUUUUUUGUCUAAGAGCUUCACGGUCAUUUGCACACCAUGUGUUUGAUGAAAUUACUGUGAUGGUGUGUGAUUGGAUAUUGAAAGGGAUCUAUCUUAAACAACAUUUUUGUUCUUCGUCGCUCUUGUUAUCUGUCGCUCUCACACAAUCGCGAUUUGCAAAAUUUGUUGGAGAUAGAGAUCCAAACUUUUGUUUGGAGAUAG
Non-coding RNA from Camelina sativa (false flax), 407 nucleotides. Lineage: Eukaryota; Viridiplantae; Streptophyta; Magnoliopsida; Brassicales; Brassicaceae. The record is from RefSeq and is a predicted model, not a curated record.